Molecule: ribosomal RNA, 463 nt
Filed under: uncultured bacterium
Lineage: Bacteria
Description: partial 16S ribosomal RNA
Rfam family: Bacterial small subunit ribosomal RNA
Source: RNAcentral
GAUGAACGCUGACAGAAUGCUUAACGCAUGCAAGUCUUUGGCGAAGCUGUGCUUGCACAGCCUAGCCAAGGCGGACGGGUGAGUAACGCGUAAGGAACUUGCCCUGCAGUCAGGGAUAACAGACGGAAACGACUGAUAAGACCUGGUAAAGUCAGGCGGACUCAUGUCCAGCCUGAUGAAAAGAGAUGCUGCAGGAGAGCCUUGCGUCCUAUUAGCUUGUUGGUGGGGUAACGGCCCACCAAGGCGAUGAUAGGUAGCCGGCCUGAGAGGGUGGACGGCCACAAGGGGACUGAGAUACGGCCCUUACUACUACGGGAGGCAGCAGUGGGGAAUAUUGGACAAUGGGGGCAACCCUGAUCCAGCAAUUCUGUGUGCACGAUGAAGGUUUUCGGAUUGUAAAGUGCUUUCAGCAGGGAAGAAAAAAAUGACGGUACCUGCAGAAGAAGCGACGGCUAAAUACGUG